GACGAACGCUGGCGGCGUGCUUAACACAUGCAAGUCGAACGGAAAGGCCCUGCUUUUGUGGGGUGCUCGAGUGGCGAACGGGUGUGUAACACGUGGGUAACCUGCCCUUGACUUUGGGAUAACUUCAGGAAACUGGGGCUAAUACCGGAUAGGAGCUCCUGCUGCAUGGUGGGGUUUGGAAAGUUUCGGCGGUUGGGGAUGGACUCGCGGCUUAUCAGCUUGUUGGUGGGGUAGUGGCUUACCAAGGCUUUGACGGGUAGCCGGCCUGAGAGGGUGACCGGCCACAUUGGGACUGAGAUACGGCCCAGACUCCUACGGGAGGCAGCAGUGGGGAAUAUUGCACAAUGGGCGGAAGCCUGAUGCAGCGACGCCGCGUGCGGGAUGACGGCCUUCGGGUUGUAAACCGCUUUCGCCUGUGACGAAGCGUGAGUGACGGUAAUGGGUAAAGAAGCACCGGCUAACUACGUG
Molecule: ribosomal RNA, 468 nt
Filed under: uncultured bacterium
Lineage: Bacteria
Description: partial 16S ribosomal RNA
Rfam family: Bacterial small subunit ribosomal RNA
Source: RNAcentral